Molecule: ribosomal RNA, 309 nt
Filed under: uncultured bacterium
Lineage: Bacteria
Description: partial 16S ribosomal RNA
Rfam family: Bacterial small subunit ribosomal RNA
Source: RNAcentral
AGAGACAGCAGCAGCCACGGUAACACGUAGGUGGCAAGCGUUGUCCGGAAUUAUUGGGCGUAAAGGGCUCGCAGGCGGUUUCUUAAGUCUGAUGUGAAAGCCCCCGGCUCAACUGGGGAGGGUCAUUGGAAACUGGGAAACUUGAGUGCAGAAGAGGAGAGUGGAAUUCCACGUGUAGCGGUGAAAUGCGUAGAGAUGUGGAGGAACACCAGUGGCGAAGGCGACUCUCUGGUCUGUAACUGACGCUGAGGAGCGAAAGCGUGGGGAGCGAACAGGAUUAGAUACCCGUGUAGUCCCUGUCUCUUAUAA